RNAcentral lists this long non-coding RNA (2316 nucleotides) under Corvus moneduloides (New Caledonian crow). RNAcentral describes it as "lncRNA (ENSCMUG00000019963.1)". The record is from RNAcentral. Lineage: Eukaryota; Metazoa; Chordata; Aves; Passeriformes; Corvidae.
AUGUUUCCCCUCCCCCCGUUUUGGGGCCAUUCUCUCCCCUCGUUUUGGGGCCAUUCUCUCUUCUUUUGGGGAUGUUUUCUCCCACCGUUUUGGGGCCAUUUUCUCCACCCCUGGGACCAAUCUCUCCCCUUUUGGGGCCAUUUUCUCCACCCUGGGAUCAUUCCCUCCCCUUUUGGGGCCAUUCUCUCCCCUUUUGGGGACUUUUUCUCCACCCUGGGAUCAUUCCCUCCCCUUUUGGGGCCACUUUCUCCACCCUGGAAUCAUUCCCUCCCCUUUUGGGAUCAUUCCCUCCCCUUCUGGGACCAUUCCCUCCCCUUCUGGGACCAUUCCCUCCCCUUUUGGGGCCAUUCUCUCCCCUUUUGGGGACUUUUUCUCCACCCUGGGAUCAUUCCCUCCCCUUUUGGGGACUUCUUCUCCACCCUGGGAUCAUUCCCUCCCCUUCUGGGGCCACUUUCUCCACCCUGGGAUCAUUCCCUCCCCUUUUGGGGCCAUUCUCUCCCCUUUUGGGGACUUCUUCUCCACCCUGGGAUCAUUCUCUCCCGUUUUGGGGCCAUUUUCUCCACCCCUGGGAUCAUUCCCUGGCCUUGUGGGGCCAUUUUCUCCACCCUGGGAUCAUUCCCUUCCCUUGUGGGGCCAUUCUCUCCCCUUUUGGGGCCAUUUUCUCCACCCUGGGAUCAUUCCCUCCCCUUUUGGGGCCAUUCUCUCCCCUUUUGGGGACUUUUUCUCCACCCUGGGAUCAUUCCCUCCCCUUUUGGGGCCAUUCUCUCCCCUUCUGGGGCCAUUUUCUCCACCCUGGGAUCAUUCCCUGGCCUUGUGGGGCCAUUUUCUCCACCCUGGGAUCAUUCCCUUCCCUUGUGGGGCCAUUCUCUCCCCUUUUGGGGCCAUUUUCUCCACCCUGGGAUCAUUCCCUCCCCUUUUGGGGACUUCUUCUCCACCCUGGAAUCAUUCCCUGGCCUUGUGGGGCCAUUUUCUCCACCCUGGGAUCAUUCCCUGGCCUUGUGGGGCCAUUUUCUCCACCCUGGGAUCAUUCCCUCCCCUUUUGGGGCCAUUCUCUCCCCUUUUGGGGCCAUUUUCUCCACCCUGGGACCCAUUCUCUCCCCUUUUGGGGCCAUUCUCUCCCCUUCUGGGGCCUUUUUCUCCACCGUGGGGCCAUUCCCUCCCCUUUUGGGGCCAUUCCCUCCCCUUUUGGGACCAUUCUCUCCCCUUUUGGGGACUUUUUCUCCACCCUGGGAUCAUUCCCUCCCCUUUUGGGGACUUCUUCUCCACCCUGGGAUCAUUCCCUCCCCUUCUGGGGCCACUUUCUCCACCCUGGGAUCAUUCCCUCCCCUUUUGGGGCCAUUCUCUCCCCUUUUGGGGACUUCUUCUCCACCCUGGGAUCAUUCUCUCCCGUUUUGGGGCCAUUUUCUCCACCCCUGGGAUCAUUCCCUGGCCUUGUGGGGCCAUUUUCUCCACCCUGGGAUCAUUCCCUUCCCUUGUGGGGCCAUUCUCUCCCCUUUUGGGGCCAUUUUCUCCACCCUGGGAUCAUUCCCUCCCCUUUUGGGGCCAUUCUCUCCCCUUUUGGGGACUUUUUCUCCACCCUGGGAUCAUUCCCUCCCCUUUUGGGGACUUCUUCUCCACCCUGGGAUCAUUCCCUCCCCUUCUGGGGCCAUUUUCUCCACCCUGGGAUCAUUCCCUCCCCUUUUGGGGCCAUUCUCUCCCCUUUUGGGGACUUUUUCUCCACCCUGGGAUCAUUCCCUCCCCUUUUGGGGCCAUUCUCUCCCCUUCUGGGGCCAUUUUCUCCACCCUGGGAUCAUUCCCUGGCCUUGUGGGGCCAUUUUCUCCACCCUGGGAUCAUUCCCUCCCCUUUUGGGGCCAUUCUCUCCCCUUUUGGGGCCAUUUUCUCCACCCUGGGACCCAUUCUCUCCCCUUUUGGGGCCAUUCUCUCCCCUUCUGGGGCCUUUUUCUCCACCCUGGGGCCAUUCCCUCCCCUUUUGGGACCAUUCUCUCCCCUUUUGGGGCCUUUUUCUCCACCCUGGGACCAUUCCCUCCCCUUUUGGGGCCAUUCUCUCCCCUUUUGGGGCCUUUAUCUCCCCUGUCGCUCUGCACCUGGCACAGGAGAUAAGGGGCCAGUGCUGUGACACUGGGAGCCUCCCCUUGCCUCAUCCCUCACCACAUCCCUCCAACUCCCCAGGAAAACCCUUGGAGCUCUUCCCUAAAAUCCCACAUCCGCUCUCCCUGCUGAUGAGGGCCAGGGGUGCUCCCGCUUUCCAGGGGUUGGAAAGAUCCAGCAGCUUUUCUGUGCGUUUUGUCAAAUCCCAGGAGCUGUGUGGAAUUUAA